This 591-nucleotide ribosomal RNA is filed under the name Carabus monilis. RNAcentral's name for it is "partial large subunit ribosomal RNA". It matches the Rfam family "Bacterial large subunit ribosomal RNA", at positions 1921 to 2758 of the family's 2925-position model. The record is from RNAcentral. Lineage: Eukaryota; Metazoa; Arthropoda; Insecta; Coleoptera; Carabidae.
UUUUAAAUGGCCGCAGUAUUUUGACUGUGCAAAGGUAGCAUAAUCAUUAGUUUUUUAAUUAAAAGCUUGUAUGAAAGGCUGGACGAGGUAAAAUCUGUCUCUAUUUAAAUUAUAUUAGAAUUUAACUUUUAAGUUAAAAGGCUUAAAUUGUAUUAAAAGACGAGAAGACCCUAUAGAUCUUUAUAAUUUAUUAAAUUAAAUUAAUUUAGAAGUUUUUAUAUUUUAUUUAAUAGUAUUAUUUUAUUGGGGUAAUAGAAAGAUUGAAUUAAUUCUUUUUUAUAAUAAACAUUAAUUUAUGAAUAUAAAUGAUCCAGUUUUACUGAUUAUAAGAUUAAGUUACCUUAGGGAUAACAGCGUAAUUUUUUUAGAGAGUUCAUAUCGAUAAGAAAGUUUGCGACCUCGAUGUUGGAUUAAAGAUUAUUUUAGGUGCAGAAGCUUAAUAAUUUUGGUCUGUUCGACCAUUAAAUCUUUACAUGAUCUGAGUUCAGACCGGCGUAAGCCAGGUCGGUUUCUAUCUUUAAUAAAAUAAAAUAUUUUAGUACGAAAGGACCAAAUAUUUAAUAUAUUUAUAUUUAAAUUAAUUGAAUAUUA